GACGAACGCUGGCGGCGUGCCUAAUACAUGCAAGUCGAACGCUGAAGGAGGAGCUUGCUUCUCUGGAUGAGUUGCGAACGGGUGAGUAACGCGUAGGUAACCUGCCUGGUAGCGGGGGAUAACUAUUGGAAACGAUAGCUAAUACCGCAUAAGAGUAGAUGUCGCAUGACAUUUGCUUAAAAGGUGCAAUUGCAUCACUACCAGAUGGACCUGCGUUGUAUUAGCUAGUUGGUGAGGUAACGGCUCACCAAGGCAACGAUACAUAGCCGACCUGAGAGGGGGAUCGGCCACACUGGGACUGAGACACGGCCCAGACUCCUACGGGAGGCAGCAGUAGGGAAUCUUCGGCAAUGGACGGAAGUCUGACCGAGCAACGCCGCGUGAGUGAAGAAGGUUUUCGGAUCGUAAAGCUCUGUUGUAAGAGAAGAACGAGUGUGAGAGUGGAAAGUUCACACUGUGACGGUAUCUUACCAGAAAGGGACGGCUAACUACGUG
This 495-nucleotide ribosomal RNA is filed under the name uncultured bacterium. Its description in RNAcentral is "partial 16S ribosomal RNA". It matches the Rfam family "Bacterial small subunit ribosomal RNA", at positions 28 to 507 of the family's 1533-position model. The record is from RNAcentral.